AGUGAACGCUGGCGGUAGGCCUAACACAUGCAAGUCGAACGGCAGCACAGUAAGAGCUUGCUCUUACGGGUGGCGAGUGGCGGACGGGUGAGGAAUACAUCGGAAUCUACUUUUUCGUGGGGGAUAACGUAGGGAAACUUACGCUAAUACCGCAUACGACCUACGGGUGAAAGCAGGGGAUCUUCGGACCUUGCGCGAUUGAAUGAGCCGAUGUCGGAUUAGCUAGUUGGCGGGGUAAAGGCCCACCAAGGCGACGAUCCGUAGCUGGUCUGAGAGGAUGAUCAGCCACACUGGGACUGAGACACGGUCCAGACUCCUACGGGAGGCAGCAGUGGGGAAUAUUGGACAAUGGGCGCAAGCCUGAUCCAGCCAUACCGCGUGGGUGAAGAAGGCCUUCGGGUUGUAAAGCCCUUUUGUUAGGAAAGAAAAGCAGCAGGUUAAUACCCCGCUGUUCUGACGGUACCCAAAGAAUAAGCACCGGCUAACUUCGUG
Molecule: ribosomal RNA, 492 nt
Filed under: uncultured bacterium
Lineage: Bacteria
Description: partial 16S ribosomal RNA
Rfam family: Bacterial small subunit ribosomal RNA
Source: RNAcentral